AGUGAACGCUGGCGGUAGGCCUAACACAUGCAAGUCGAACGGCAGCACAGUAAGAGCUUGCUCUUACGGGUGGCGAGUGGCGGACGGGUGAGGAAUACAUCGGAAUCUACUUUUUCGUGGGGGAUAACGUAGGGAAACUUACGCUAAUACCGCAUACGACCUACGGGUGAAAGCAGGGGAUCUUCUGACCUUGCGCGAUUGAAUGAGCCGAUGUCGGAUUAGCUAGUUGGCGGGGUAAAGGCCCACCAAGGCGACGAUCCGUAGCUUGUCUGAGAGGAUGAUAGGCCACACUGGAACUGAGACACGGUCCAGACUCCUACGGGAGGCAGCAGUGUGGAAUAUUGGACAAUGGGCGCAAGCCUGAUCCAGCCAUACCGCGUGGGUGAAGAAGGCCUUCGGGUUGUAAAGCCCUUUUGUUGGGAAAGAAAAGCAGCAGGUUAAUACCCCGCUGUUCUGACGGUACCCAAAGAAUAAGCACCGGCUAACUUCGUG
Molecule: ribosomal RNA, 492 nt
Filed under: uncultured bacterium
Lineage: Bacteria
Description: partial 16S ribosomal RNA
Rfam family: Bacterial small subunit ribosomal RNA
Source: RNAcentral